RNAcentral lists this ribosomal RNA (232 nucleotides) under uncultured bacterium. RNAcentral describes it as "partial 16S ribosomal RNA". It matches the Rfam family "Bacterial small subunit ribosomal RNA", at positions 118 to 347 of the family's 1533-position model. The record is from RNAcentral.
UGAGGAAUCUGUCCAUCGGCGGGGGAUAGCCGGCCCAACGGCCGGGUAAUACCGCGUACGACCACAUGGGGACAUCCCUGAGUGGUGAAAGCAGCAAUGCGCCGAUGGAGUGCCUCGCGGCCUAUCAGCUAGUUGGUGAGGUAACGGCUCACCAAGGCAACGACGGGUAGCUGGUCUGAGAGGACGACCAGCCACACUGGAACUGAGAUACGGUCCAGACCUCGUACGGGAG